AUGGCCACCAAGCGCGCGUACAAGCUCCAGGAGUUUGUUGCGCAUGCUUCGGAUGUCACUUGUGCCAAGUUUGGGAAGCGAACAUCAAGAACUCUCAUCACUGGUGGGGAGGAUCAGAAGGUCAAUCUUUGGGCUGUAGGGAAACCUAGCGCUGUCCUGAGCCUCUCAGGCCAUACAAGUCCAGUUGAGUCACUGAGCUUUGAUUCCUCUGAGGUUAUGAUAGGUGCCGGAGCAGCAACCGGAACAAUAAAAAUAUGGGAUAUCAAGGAAGCAAAAGUUGUUCGAACUUUCACUGGGCAUAGAUCAAAUUGCGCCUCUCUUGAUUCCCAUCCUUUUGGAGAAUUUUUUGCGUCUGGGUCUUCAGAUACAAACAUGAAAAUAUGGGACAUGCGGAAGAAGAGAUGCAUUCACACAUACCAGGGUCAUACCGGGAGGAUUGAUGUGCUUAGAUUCACUCCUGAUGGUCGGUGGAUUGUUUCUGGUGGGGCUGAUAGUUCUGUGAAGAUCUGGGAUUUGACAGCUGGAAAGCUCUUGCAUGACUUUAGGCUUCAUGAAGGCCCAAUUAACUGUUUAGAUUUUCACCCCCACGAGUUCUUACUGGCCACAGGUUCAGCUGAUAAAACUGUUAAAUUUUGGGACCUUGAGACUUUUGAGUUGAUUGGAUCUUCUGGACCGGAGAAUUAUCGGGAAUACUAUAUGCCGGCUAGUGUAGUUCGUUCUAUGACAUUCAACAGUGAUGGCAAAGCACUUUUUUGUGGAUUACAUGAAAACUUGAAGGUUCUUUCAUGGGAACCUAUCAUAUGUCAUGAUGCAGUUGAUGUUGGCUGGUCAACAUUAGCAGAUCUAAAUGUACAAGAGGGAAAACUUCUUGGUUGCUCAUAUAACCAAAGUUGUGUGGGAAUAUGGGUUGUGGACUUGAUGAAAUUUGAUCCAUACACUGUCGGUAGUGCGGAAGCAUUUUGGAAUGGAACUGGUAAUGGGCCAUUACAAGCUGAUAAUAGCAUAUCAUCAAUGCUGGGAAGUUUAUCGAUUUCCAGAAGACCAGAAGCCAAUGAAACUCCAUCCAGUACAUUGCUUAAGCGCCCGAUGUCUAUGUCGAAAGAAACUUCUGUACCAGUUUCUUCUGCAGUGAGGAAGAGAUUAUCAAAAGCACCUGGAAUAAAUAAUCUUCGGCUGACAAGAGCUGAAUCUGCACCUCUUCUUUCUCCUAGGGUUAGAUUGAAGCCAAAUUCUACUGACCACCAGAAGAGACACAUAGCUAAUGUUCGCUUCAAAGUGGAUCUCUCUACAAGUGCCAGAAUGAUCGCUGGUAACUCACAGGCUUCUGCUGCUCCCACAUAUAUAACUAGGUCCAAUAUAUUUGCAUGUAGUAGUGAAGGAUCCGCUUUCGUGCCUGGUGUUGUCCCAAGGCAUGUUUCUAAAGUGGAUGCUGGUUCCAAUCUCAGUGAAGCUGCCGCUGCUGACUUACCAGGUCAUCUGGCUGUGGAUCAUGACAAAGAUGUUCAUCGCUGCAUAUUUCAGUCAAAACCAAUUACUUCAAAAACUCCACAAAGGAAAUUUAUAAGAGAAACAUCAAGUAAUGGGGACAUUAACUGUUUUGGACCAUUGUGCACUGAAAGUGUUCAGUCUAACAAAGUUGAUGACUGGUAUGAUGUUUGUGGUUUUGAAGAAACAAAAUCAGCAGUUGGAAGGAAUCCACAAUUUGUGAAUGUUAACAGAGCAGUAGUGUUUGGAUCGAGCCAACUGGUGGAUCGAGGAACGGGACAUUUAUGUGCGAGUUACGAGAGAAGCGAGUACGCACCAACGUCAGAUGGCUUGAGACAAUCUUCAUUUGCUGGAGAACGCAGUGCAUCGGCUAAUGAUGACGAUCUUAUAGCUGACCUAAUGCAAAACCAUCAAGAAUUCAUUCAUGGCGUGAAGUCGCGGCUGACAAAACUAGAGCUUGUGUACCGCUGUUGGCAAAAUAACGAUAUCAAGGGCUCUGUCAGUGCUAUGCGAAGAAUGUCGGAUCAUGCUGUUACUGCUGAUAUAAUUAAUGUUCUUAUUAUGGAAAAGAGUACCAAGUAUAUUACACUAGACAUUUGCGCUUCUGUUUUACCUCUCGCCUCCAAUCUUCUUGAAAGCGGAUAUGACAGACAUUUGAACGUUGCCUUGGCGAUGAUCCUUAACCUUGUCAAAAGCUUCCGUGCAUCAAUCUUUUCUACUUUGUCGUCUACUCCACCAGCCUGUGUAGACCUCGAAGCAGAGCACCGGUUGGAACGCUGCAGUAUAUGCUUUCAAGAGCUGGAAAAGAUAAAUGCAAGUCUCAUCUCCUUGACAAGGCGAGAAGGCAAGGUUGGGAGAUCAGCACGGGAGCUGAGCCUCCUCCUUCAGGAUAUCUUCAAGACACCAAGCAGUGUAUAA
This 2403-nucleotide ribosomal RNA is filed under the name Triticum aestivum (bread wheat). RNAcentral describes it as "partial small subunit ribosomal RNA". Lineage: Eukaryota; Viridiplantae; Streptophyta; Magnoliopsida; Poales; Poaceae. The record is from RNAcentral.